RNAcentral lists this long non-coding RNA (7564 nucleotides) under Volvox carteri. RNAcentral describes it as "long non-coding RNA (VCAR_LNC003264)". The record is from RNAcentral. Lineage: Eukaryota; Viridiplantae; Chlorophyta; Chlorophyceae; Chlamydomonadales; Volvocaceae.
UCAGUAUCAAGGAACGAGUUGGAUGGAGAGGCAAAGCGCGAACAGAGACUGUUGUCGCCCGAGUCGUUACACGCGGCAUCGAACGUAAAUUGACGCCCAAGUUCGUUCUCAACUCUUCGAAAUUCAUCACGAAGGAACAUCCGAUCACAUAUCAAUGGAUCACAGACGGGCGGAACAACAGAGUCCCUAGUCGUCAAGUCAGGCUCGGCAGAAGAGACUUGGUCUACACGUGCUACGGCCUGCUUGCAAAACACCCCCUCGCGCUUGCCAGCGUCCUAAUUAGCCGGUCGGUUCGCGUUUAAAGUAGCCGUCUUCUCCUGCAGUCGGGCCAUCUGCUCCUGCAGGUGGCGAAGGCAGUCCUUCUUGUGCUCUUCCCAAGUCUGGUUCGCCGGUUUGAGGCGAGAGCACAUCCGACACUUGAGAGGAGUACCGGACGUUGACGUCCGCGGUUUCUUCGCACGAACCGUUUCCCAGGCCUGUUUGGAAGGGGACCGAGGGCGAGAUUGCUUAGGGCGAGAGGAGGAAGUAAUCUUAGACGGGCCAGCUUGCGUAGUAACUACAGCAAGCUGUGCUUUGUCCUUUCCGGCUUUCCACCCAACCUCCUGACCGCUAGCAUACAGGAUUAGCUUCUCUAAAUCCUGCCAGUCUUUGCCCUCAUCGUCCGUAGCGCAGCGACCGUGCAGCGCAGGAACUAAGCCCUUGAUAUACCAAGAGAUUUGAUCCGCAACACUCAUAUCAUUCGCUUCGCGAACAAUAUCGUAAAAGCGCUGCGUAUACUCCGGUACGGACUCGUCUAUUUUCAUAUCGUAGUCGUGCGCAUGCAAACGAUCGCGUGCGGCCAUCGCGGUGUCGCGCUUCGCAUCCCCAUAUUGUAACAGGAAUUUAUCACGCAACAAAUCGCGGGUAAGUGGUUGCGCGCCGGACUUGUGCUUAAGGAAAAGAUCUGCGGCCCACUCCUGAGCCUUGCCCGUAAGCCAAAACAUAAAGUGCUCAAGCGGGUCCAUUUGCGACAAGUCAAAAUAUUGCAUAAGAAGCGCGAACCAUGUCUUAGUAUUAGUAAUUUGCGAAUCCUUCUUUCCACUAAAACGAGGUGGUGCAAGGAUACGCUUAUUUACCUCUGAGGGAUGGGCAGACUUAGAAGGGGGGGCCGCCGAGCCGGAAGGACCACCGGCUUGCUUGGCGAUGCCCUCGCUCCAGAGCUGCUUGACCUCAUCCAAACGGACUUCGGGAUUAAGGUGGCGCUGCAGAAGCGCCUGGAAAGCGCAAUUCUGCAGCAUAUCCACGUCAAGAAACACGGCCAGAUUGCUGUCCAGCGUCUCGCAGAUGCCAUCAAUAAUUAUCGUCUUACGCCUAAUGUCCGACGUACUCGGAGGCGGCGACGUAGGUGACAAAUCCCGAAGCUGCGCUUGGACAUCCUUCAGGGCGGAGGUUAUUUCGCCCAAGCGCUCGCCGUAUUUGGCGAGAAUGCCGUGAACCUCUCCCUUAAAGGAAGAUAAUUCCGCUUGAAGAGCAGGGACUUGAUUGUCGCGAGCUGCGCGAAGCAUUUCCUGGACCUGCACGGCUGCCGCAGCCUGCGCUGGCGUACACGCCGGAAGCCCGUAGAAGGCGAGGCCCGCUGCACGGUCUCCGAAGGCGAUUCCGCCGGAGAAUCAACGUCCAUCUGUGGACAAUUAACAGGAAUAUUAUUAAUAUGAUGUUCCUUAUUGGGAAUAGCCAAAGGGUGUUCGUCUUCGUCGUCGGAAUUAGCAGCCUCGUGCGCAGCAGGGUCCUGUUCCUGAAGGGAUGCUUCGCGAUACCUUUCAUACGAUUUUUGAAGCUUAAGGAAUUUAGUCAAACGCUUUUGCGCGGCCUUAUUGUAGCGCAUCGCGUCAAGGAGGAUCGAACUUGACGCUCGAUACCAAUGUAGCAGUCGCUCACCUGACGGGAGGACUGGCAAAGCGGAAGCGUGGAGUUAUUAGUCCUCGUCGAUGUAGGAAGAAGUCCAACCAAGCGGCAGGCACUAGCGUACAUAAGAUGUGUACGUAACGAUUAGAGACGGCGGCAGCGGAGUCUUGAACUCCGAACACCUAGUAAUGUGAUACGUCAGUGUCUGGCCAGAACACCCCGCCCGGGUAGCUUAUAUCUCGGCCUACCUGCCGGAUAAUCUCUACUACGGACCUUGCCGUACUAGGAUAAUGUUGGUGGGGCCCGGGGCCCCAUCCCGUUAGAUUCGCUUACUAAUAGCUGCCCAGUUCGUGACAUGUGACGAAACUCGGAACAUGUACGAAACUUGAGUCAGAUCGUUUUACAAAUUAACAAUUAUUGUUAAAAGUAAUCGUUAAAAUAUUCUAAGGGAAAUGUAGCUUGCUACAGCAGCCUAUGUGCCUGGGAGCCUGGCAGCCUGGGAUUCUGAGAGCUUGGGACCCCAGUCUUUAACGAAACUUUGGUAUGGCUUCGUUGGCCUGCCCGCCAUGCGCUGUGUUGCACAGACAGGCUGGCAGGUGGAAUGCAGGACAAGGGCGUAACCGGGUGCGGGGCGUGGUGCCGUGUUGGGUCUUGGGGACAUGCGCAAGCUGUGCGCCAGCUCGGAUGCCAUACAAUGGCCUCUUUCCACCGCCAAAUGAUCGUGUACCCAGUAGAGCAUUCAUUGUGCCACUCAGAGCCGACAAAGGGAUGGAACGACGUGUUGGGCAUGGCGGUCAGUCUUUGCUGAAUCCCUUUCACUAAUGCCCAGUGCUUGUGGCCAUUGCAAUGACCUUAUUGCAUGAUUCAAUUGUUCCAGUGCGUUGGUGUUAUUUAAGCAGGUUACAUAAACAGGUCAUUAGAAUGUCCGCCGCGCGCCUUGAGAUGUUGUCUUUUUUCUUUCGAUUGCUUUCUCCUUUUAUGCUAGAAGCCUUUUGACUAUGUGCGUCACAAUUUUGGUGUUAGUUUCUCCUGGAGAGUGUUUUGCACGUGAAUUGCUUGCCAAGGAAUGCAAGCUGGAGCAUUAAUUAUUAGUGUCUCAUGAAUCAUCUACAUACAGAUGUUUUGGAGCUUUGGACCAUCGUUUCCAUGACCGUCCGCUAGGCGUCCGCUGGAACGGUCAAGAUGUACGGCGUUGCGGACAGGGGACCGUCCGCCGGCGGGGUAUAUGUAAAUUCAGUCAUGUUCCCAAUGGUCAUAUGCUGGCUAUGUGUUCAUGUUUUGUUCCUUUCUAAAAAGUGACAAUUAUAUGCCAUAUGGACUCCCGAAUCCCCUCUGAAAUGCUGCAUAGUAUAUUACCUCCAUAACAAUGUGCACAAUGUACUAUGCAGCAUCCCUGCAGGGAUUCUGGAGUGCACUUGAAUUACCUUCGUUUCAGCCACUUGCAGUGACUUAAGGCAUGUAUUUAAGGUUUAAUUAGCAAAGAUUCUCUCCUGCUGUGUUCAAGCAUGACAAGUUAAGUCACCAGCUCGCACCGUCCCACAGGCACAGCAUUGUUGAUGUAACUAGCUAAAACAUGUGGGAGGUGCAUUAGUCUCAACCGCAGGCGCGGCGGCGGCCAUACUCCACCCCCUUUCUUUGCACUGGUGCCGAUAUGCAUGUGACCGACUACCAAACCAGUUGGCACAGUUGGUGCAGUGAAAAGGCUGGGAGGAGUCCGGAGCUACAUCCGGUCUGUAAAUGAUCUUUCGUGGUUUGGAUGCCACCUCCAGCGCAUUCAAUGACAUGGCAAACUGGCUAAUGUGACCAGUAAGAAUGAUCACAAUGUGUAGGAAUACCAGAACAUUCACGUUUGUAUCAAUCGUCGAGCUUCUAAUGCUUCUACACAAGCAAGCAUUUGGUCCCGCCAUGACAAAAGAGCAUCCUAUUCUAUGGCAGGUUCUGGCAAGGAUUUAAAUGAUGCAAUCAACAAAGUUCGGUAGCCACGAAACAACUUCCCAAUAUUGAAUUUGCAGCCAUGUGAACUUUAUACCAUGCUGUACACUUCCGGACACUUUCCCCUCUUGCUGCCCAGAAGUCAAGUGAACGUGGACAAUUUGCAACACCAAUAAGAAACGUCACUGCGUUUAGCACUAUGUGAUUGCUGUGCAAAUUGCACCAUCUGGUACCUCCCAGCCCCACCUUCGUCGCUGCCGCUGCUACUCCGUUGCUAAUUCCCCCCGCCGCCGUGCCUGCUGUUGAGACUAAUAGCCCUCCCAGCCCCACCUUCAUCGCUGCCGCUGCUACUCCGUUGCUAUCUCCCGCCGCCGCCGCACCUCCUGUUCAGAUUAAUGCAUCUCCCAGCCCCACCGCCGUCGCUGCCGUUGCUACUCCGUUGCUAAUUCCCGCCGCCGCCGCGCCUGCCGUUUAGGCUACUGCACCUCCCAGCCCCAACACCGUCGCUGCCGCUGCUGCUGCAUUGCUAUUUCCUGCCACCGCCGUGCCUGCCAUUUAGGCUACUGCACCUCCCAGCCCCAACGCAGUCGCUGCCGCUGCUACUCCGUUGCUAAUUCCCCCAGCCGCCACGCCUGCUGCUCUUGCUAUUUCCCCCACCACCAUGCCUGCCGUUAAGGAUACUGCACCUUCCAACCCCACCUUCAUCGCUGCCACUGCUGCUGCGUUGCUAAUUCCCGCCGCCGCCGCGCCUGCCGUUUAGGCUACUGCACCUCCAACCCCACCGCCGUCGCUGCCACUGCUGCUGCGUUGCUAAUUCCCACCGCCGCCACGCCUGCCGUUUAGGCUACUGCACCUCCCAGCCCCACUGCCGUCGCUGCCACUGCUNNNNNNNNNNNNNNNNNNNNNNNNNNNNNNNNNNNNNNNNNNNNNNNNNNNNNNNNNNNNNNNNNNNNNNNNNNNNNNNNNNNNNNNNNNNNNNNNNNNNNNNNNNNNNNNNNNNNNNNNNNNNNNNNNNNNNNNNNNNNCCGGACGCCAAGCGUCAGAGGCUGGACACGGCUGCGUCCCAGAGCAGCACGUCGACGGUCGGCCCUCCCGCCGUCGCCACGUAAGCGAGCUGCUACAUGCAAAGAGCGUGUUCACACCAGUAAGGUACUUACGCUCCGCCUCUCACCGUGCGAAAUAGACGCAUCUAUCAGCUCCGGCGCGCAUAUUUGGCCGCUGCCUGUUAAGCACAGAUGUCUUCCGUCACGUUCAUCGCCGCUCGCAUGCACCUUGAAUAUCGUGUAACGCUCCCCAUUUGACGCCCCUUUGCAACACGUAGGGAUUCAAGGAGCGUCACGUUUCAUGUGACGUUUACGGCCGGCCCCACAGAAACGAAUGAGGACCGCCUCUUUGCCGGCGCCCAGAGCCGCUACGGCAGCUUCAUCGCUGGCGUGAAUACCGCCGGCCAGGGGAUAGUAAUUAUGCAGAUUGACGAUGUCAUCCUCGGCAGGCUGGAGAGCAGCCACGCGUUCGGCCACCGCGUGACGUUCGCCAAUGUGGAUGCAGCUUCCCUGCCGCCUUUCAUAACUUCUCGUUUCGCUGGGGUGACGGUGGGGCAGUUUAAAGUCUCCUCAGCGACGCGGAUUUCCGUGGAGCCCUCCUCCGCUGUCCCAAUGCUCUACAGCGCCAGGCUUCGGUUCCCCGUUUACGAUGUCGGCAGUGACAGGGCUCGCCCCGAAGACAAGCACGCGUCAGAUGGCAGCGCCCUCCUGCUCAUCCCACACGGCGGGAUGUUCCGGGGCGGGCCGUUCCGCAAGUUUAAGGCGUGNGUCGCGUGCGGCAACGGUGACAGUCCCGACGCCGGACGCGUGGAGCUCGCCAUCAGGGAAUCCGCUCCCGACGACUUCGUCGCUCAGCUACAAGCAGCGGCCGAUAGCAGCACGCCCCUUUACGUGUAUGNNNNNNNNNNNNNNNNNNNNNNNNNNNNNNNNNNNNNNNNNNNNNNNNNNCCACGCCUGCCGUUUAGGCUACUGCACCUCCCAACCCCACUGCCGUCGCUGCCACUGCUGCUGUGUUGCUAAUUCCCGCCGCCGCCGUGCCUGCCGUUUAGGCUACUGCACCUCCCAGCCCCAACGCCGUCGCUGCCGCUGUUGCUGUGUUGCUAUUUCCCGCCGCCGCCACGCCUGCCGUUUAGGCUACUGCACCUCCCAACCCCACUGCCGUCGCUGCCACUGCUGCUGCGUUGCUAUUUCCCGCCGCUGCCGCGCCUGCUGGACUUGCAUUUCUGGACUGGCGAGAAUUUUGAAAAUUUUGUUUCACCGAAAUGGCAUCCCUGGAUCACACUUGCGAUUUAUUGUAUGUGCUGCUACUACUACUACUACUACUACUUGUAUGUAUAUAGUAGUACUGGUACUACCCUUUAGUAUAAUAGUAGUAGGUAUAUAGUCAGAGAAAGAAAAAUGACUUCCAUGCCAGAGUUGAACUGGCAGCCACAGCAAUACCAAAAUAGUGUUUGUAUGUUCUCUGUGGCUACAUCACUUGGAAGAGAGUGAAAAGAGAAAAGAUUGGAUGGCCAAUUGGAUGUGGCCCAUUUUUGUAAAAUAAAGGCCCUCCCUAAUGCACCUCCCAGCCCCAACGCCGUCGCUGCCGCUGCUACUCCGUUGCUAAUUCCCACCGCCGCCGUGCCUGCUGUUGAGAGUAAUGGCCCUCCCAGCCCCACCUUCGUCGCUGCCACUGCUGCUGGGUUGCUAAUUCCCGCCGCCGCCGCGCCUGCCGUUUAGGCUACUGCACCUCCCAGCCCCAACACUGUCGCUGCCGCUGCUGCUGCGUUGCUAUUUCCUGCCACCGCCGUGCCUGCCAUUUAGGCUACUGCACCUCCCAGCCCCAACGCAGUCGCUGCCGCUGCUACUCCGUUGCUAAUUCCCCCAGCCGCCACGCCUGCCAUUUAGGCUACUGCACCCCACCAGCAUGCCUGCCGUUAAGGCUACUGCACCUUCCAAUCCCACCUUCACGCCGCCACUGCUGCUGCGUUGCUAAUUCCCGCCGCCGCCGCGCCUGCCGUUUAGGCUACUGCACCUCCAACCCCACCGCCGUCGCUGCCACUGCUGCUGCGUUGCUAAUUCCCACCGCCGCCACGCCUGCCGUUUAGGCUACUGCACCUCCCAGCCCCACUGCCGUCGCUGCCACUGCUGCUGUGUUGCUAAUUCCCGACGCCGCCACGCCUGCCGUUUAGGCUACUGCACCUCCCAACCCCACUGCCGUCGCUGCCACUGCUGCUGUGUUGCUAAUUCCCGCCGCCGCCGUGCCUGCCAUUUAGGCUACUGCACCUCCCAGCCCCAACGCCGUCGCUGCUGCUGCUGCUGCAUUGCUAUUUCCUGCCACCGCCGCGCCUGCCAUUUAGGCUACUGCACCUCCCAGCCCCACCUUCGUCGCGGCCGCUGCUACUCCUUUGCUAAAUCCUGCCGCCGCCGCGCCUGCUGCUGCGUUGCUAAUUCCCCCCGCCGCCGCGCCUGCCGUUUAGGCUACUGCACCUCCCAGCCCCACUGCCGUCGCUGCCACUGCUGCUGCGUUGCUAAUUCCCACCGCCGCCACGCCUGCCGUUUAGGCUACUGCACCUCCCAACCCCACUGCCGUCGCUGCCACUGCUGCUGCGUUGCUAAUUCCCACGCCGCCACGCCUGCCGUUUAGGCUACUGCACCUCCCAACCCCACUGCCGUCGCUGCCACUGCUGCUGUGUUGCUAAUUCCCGGCGCCGCCGUGCCUGCCG